UAGAGUUUGAUCAUGGCUCAGAACGAACGCUUGCGGCGUGCUUAACACAUGCAAGUCGAACGAGAAAGGGACUUCGGUCCUGAGUAAAGUGGCGCACGGGUGAGUAACGCGUAGGUAAUCUACCCCUGUGUUCGGGACAACAUCGGGAAACUGGUGCUAAUACCGGAUACGUUUCACAGGUAGCGAUAUUUGUGAAGGAAAGAUGGCGAUCUCUUCGGAGAGCUAUUGCACGGGGAUGAGCCUGCGUACCAUUAGCUAGUUGGUGGGGUAAGGGCCUACCAAGGCGACGAUGGUUAGCGGGUCUGAGAGGAUGAUCCGCCACACUGGCACUGGAACACGGGCCAGACUCCUACGGGAGGCAGCAGUGAGGAAUUUUGCACAAUGGGGGAAACCCUGAUGCAGCGACGCCGCGUGAGUGACGAAGGUCUUCGGAUCGUAAAGCUCUGUCAGCAGGGAAGAAACGUGAGGUGGCUAAUAUCCACUUUAUUUGACGGUACCUGCAAAGGAAGCACCGGCUAACUCCGUGCCAGCCGCCGCGGUAAUAC
RNAcentral lists this ribosomal RNA (545 nucleotides) under uncultured Desulfobulbus sp. RNAcentral describes it as "bacterial SSU rRNA". It matches the Rfam family "Bacterial small subunit ribosomal RNA", at positions 1 to 526 of the family's 1533-position model. The record is from RNAcentral. Lineage: Bacteria; Pseudomonadati; Thermodesulfobacteriota; Desulfobulbia; Desulfobulbales; Desulfobulbaceae.